GACGAACGCUGGCGGCGUGCUUAACACAUGCAAGUCGAACGGAAAGGCCCCUUUGGGGGUACUCGAGUGGCGAACGGGUGAGUAACACGUGAGUAACCUGCCCUUGCCUUCGGGAUAACUUCAGGAAACUGGGGCUAAUACCGGAUAGGAAUCCUUGCUGCAUGGGGGGGGUUGGAAAGCUUUGGCGGUUUUGGAUGGACUCGCGGCUUAUCAGCUUGUUGGUGGGGUAGUGGCUUACCAAGGCUUUGACGGGUAGCCGGCCGGUGAGGGCGACCGGCCACAUUGGGACUGAGAUACGGCCCAGACGCCGACGGGAGGCAGAAGUGGGGAAUAUUGCACAAGGGGCGGAAGCCUGAUGAAGCAACGCCGCGUGCGGGAUGACGGCCUUCGGGUUGUAAACCGCUUUCAGCAGGGGCGAAGCUUGUGGUGACGGUACCUGCAGAAGAAGCACCGGCUAACUACGUG
This 465-nucleotide ribosomal RNA is filed under the name uncultured bacterium. Its description in RNAcentral is "partial 16S ribosomal RNA". It matches the Rfam family "Bacterial small subunit ribosomal RNA", at positions 28 to 507 of the family's 1533-position model. The record is from RNAcentral.